UACGGGGGGAGCAAGCGUUGUUCGGAUUUACCGGGCGUAAAGGGCGCGUAGGCGGCGUAACAAGUCACUUGUGAAAUCUCCGGGCUUAACCCGGAGCGGCCAAGUGAUACUGUUGUGCUAGAGUGCGGAAGGGGCUGCUGGAAUUCCUGGUGUAGCGGUGAAAUGCGCAGAUAUCAGGAGGAACACCAAUGGCGAAGGCAGCUCGCUGGAACGGUACUGACGCUGAGGCGCGAAAGCGUGGGGAGCGAACAGG
This 253-nucleotide ribosomal RNA is filed under the name uncultured bacterium. RNAcentral describes it as "partial 16S ribosomal RNA". It matches the Rfam family "Bacterial small subunit ribosomal RNA", at positions 524 to 776 of the family's 1533-position model. The record is from RNAcentral.